RNAcentral lists this ribosomal RNA (241 nucleotides) under uncultured Actinomycetales bacterium. RNAcentral describes it as "partial 16S ribosomal RNA". It matches the Rfam family "Bacterial small subunit ribosomal RNA", at positions 89 to 334 of the family's 1533-position model. The record is from RNAcentral. Lineage: Bacteria; Bacillati; Actinomycetota; Actinomycetes; Actinomycetales.
ACUCGAGUGGCUAACGGGUGAGUAACACGUGGGUGAUCUGCCCUGCACUUCGGGAUAAGCUUGGGAAACUGGGUCUAAUACCGGAUAGGAGCCAUCUUUAGUGUGGUGGUUGGAAAGUUUUUCGGUGUAGGAUGAGCUCGCGGCCUAUCAGCUUGUUGGUGGGGUAAUGGCCUACCAAGGCGGCGACGGGUAGCCGGCCUGAGAGGGUGUACGGCCACAUUGGGACUGAGAUACGGCCCAG